AUGGCCACCAAGUCCCAAAAGAAGAAGAAGCUCUCCGCCCCCAACCCCUCUAUCGACGCCAAGAAGCCCAAACCUCCGAAACCCGUCGAGGAGCGAGAGACGGCGGUGGCGGCAGCCAAGAAGCCGAAGCCGAAGCCGAAGCCGAAGGAGCAGAAGGAGGGCAAGGAGGUCUCUGCCAAGAAGACGAAGAAGCAGAAGGAGAGCAACGAGAUUGACGAGAUCUUCGAGGCCACCAAGUCCGACAAGAAGCGCAAGCUGCAGGAGGAGGAGGAGGAGGAGGAGGGGUCCAAGAAGCCCAAGAAGGGCAAGGCCGAGGGGUCUAGCAAGAAGAAGAGCAAGAAGGAGACCAGAGGUAAUGGCUGGGAGCCUGGCCAAGAUGAUGAGGUUGAGGAGAAGCGGCCGCGGCGGCGCACCAAUGACGGGCUCACCAUCUACUCCGCCGACGAGCUCGGGUUUGGCAAGGCUGACGCCGGCGGCACCGCCCUCUGCCCCUUCGACUGCGACUGCUGCUUCUGA
This 516-nucleotide ribosomal RNA is filed under the name Triticum aestivum (bread wheat). Its description in RNAcentral is "partial small subunit ribosomal RNA". Lineage: Eukaryota; Viridiplantae; Streptophyta; Magnoliopsida; Poales; Poaceae. The record is from RNAcentral.